This 104-nucleotide small nucleolar RNA is filed under the name Dasypus novemcinctus (nine-banded armadillo). Its description in RNAcentral is "Small nucleolar RNA U13 (ENSDNOG00000034784.1)". It matches the Rfam family "Small nucleolar RNA U13". Lineage: Eukaryota; Metazoa; Chordata; Mammalia; Cingulata; Dasypodidae. The record is from RNAcentral.
AUCCUUUUGUGGUUCAUAAGCAUGAUGAAUGGGUGUUCACACGCUUGUGUGAAAUGUGCCUCCCUCCAAUCUUGUUGUGACGUCAGCACAUUACCCGUCUGAUG